GACGAACGCUGGCGGCGUGCUUAACACAUGCAAGUCGAACGGUAAGGCCCUUCGGGGUACACGAGUGGCGAACGGGUGAGUAACACGUGGGUGAUCUGCCCUGCACUUCGGGAUAAGCCUGGGAAACUGGGUCUAAUACCGGAUAGGACUCCUGGCUUCAUGGUUGGGGGUGGAAAGCUUUUGCGGUGUGGGAUGGGCCCGCGGCCUAUCAGCUUGUUGGUGGGGUAAUGGCCUGCCAAGGCGACGACGGGUAGCCGGCCUGAGAGGGUGACCGGGCACACUGGGACUGGGAUACGGACCAGACUCCUACGGGAGGCAGCAGUGGGGAAUAUUGCACAAUGGGCGCAAGCCUGAUGCAGCGACGCCGCGUGAGGGAUGACGGCCUUCGGGUUGUAAACCUCUUUCAGCUAUGACGAAGCGCAAGUGACGGUAGUAGCAGAAGAAGGACCGGCCAACUACGUGCCAGCCGCCGCCGCAG
Molecule: ribosomal RNA, 478 nt
Filed under: uncultured bacterium
Lineage: Bacteria
Description: partial 16S ribosomal RNA
Rfam family: Bacterial small subunit ribosomal RNA
Source: RNAcentral